Molecule: long non-coding RNA, 252 nt
Organism: Vidua macroura (Pin-tailed whydah)
Lineage: Eukaryota; Metazoa; Chordata; Aves; Passeriformes; Viduidae
Exons: 2
Source: RefSeq, a predicted model, not a curated record
CCAGCCACAGCACUUUGCCAACAACGUCUGCUCUGGCAGGACCAGGAGAGAUGUUUGUGUGAUUUCCCCAGCGCCUGGUACUGAGGCAUCGCAGACAUGGGCACUGCUGUGAGAAACAUUGCACUAAGGAAGGACACAGAAACAGCCUGCACUUCAACCCUGCUGGAAGGAGCAUCUAAUUCAACUGCCCAUCCUUAGUCCAGGAGGAAUUAAUUUGACACCUCAGCAACUUAAUAAAAAGCAUUAAACACA